This 388-nucleotide ribosomal RNA is filed under the name uncultured bacterium. RNAcentral describes it as "bacterial SSU rRNA". It matches the Rfam family "Bacterial small subunit ribosomal RNA", at positions 28 to 417 of the family's 1533-position model. The record is from RNAcentral.
GACGAACGCUGGCGGCGUGCUUAACACAUGCAAGUCGAGCGGUAAGGCCCUUUCGGGGGUACACGAGCGGCGAACGGGUGAGUAACACGUGGGUGACCUGCCCUCAGCUCUGGGAUAAGCCUGGGAAACCGGGUCUAAUACUGGAUAUGACUCCAUGACGCAUGUUGUGGGGUGGAAAGCCUUGUGCGGCUGAGGAUGGGCCCGCGGCCUAUCAGCUUGUUGGUGGGGUGANGGCCUACCAAGGCGACGACGGGUAGCCGGCCUGAGAGGGCGACCGGCCACACUGGGACUGAGACACGGCCCAGACUCCUACGGGAGGCAGCAGUGGGGAAUCUUGCGCAAUGGGCGAAAGCCUGACGCAGCGACGACGCGUGAGGGAUGACGGCCU